AACGCACGAGACCUGCGGACCUGCGGAGGGAUCAUUACAGAUUCAUCAGGAGGAAAGGGAUGUUGCUGGUACCCCUCUGGGUGCAUGGUGCACUCCUGGACCUCCGUCUUUUAAAACUCUCCCUGUGCACUCUUUGUAGAUGGGAGUGAAACACCUCUCAUCUAUGUUAUUUGUCAUAACACCCUUGAUUAAAGAAGGAAUAUAACAUUAAUGAUGUUUGACAACUUUUAACAACGGAUC
This 240-nucleotide unclassified non-coding RNA is filed under the name soil metagenome. RNAcentral's name for it is "partial contains 5.8S ribosomal RNA, internal transcribed spacer 2, and large subunit ribosomal RNA". The record is from RNAcentral.